GGGCGGAGGAGAAAAGGGAACACGAUGGUUCCAUUGAUUGAGCAUCCAUACGGAGUAAAUAAUUAUGGAGAUACCAACGAAUGCUUGAAGAAAAUUGAAGAGUUUGAGCAGGAAUACCAACGAUAUAUGACACGUCGCAUUUGUGGUGAAAUUGAAACCCUAAACCCAAAUCCCAACAGCUACAGAAAAGCAAGGAGGAUCGAAGCGCGUACACAGAGAAAGAGAGAGAGAGAGAGAGAGAGA
This 243-nucleotide unclassified non-coding RNA is filed under the name Hevea brasiliensis (rubber tree). The record is from RNAcentral. Lineage: Eukaryota; Viridiplantae; Streptophyta; Magnoliopsida; Malpighiales; Euphorbiaceae.